ACUCAAAUGAAUAGACGGGGGCCCGCACAAGCGGUGGAGCAUGUGGAUUAAUUCGAAGCAACGCGAAGAACCUUACCAAGGCUUGACAUGGAGACGAAGGGCAUAGAGAUAUGCCUGCCUUUCGGGGCGGCUCACACAGGUGGUGCAUGGUUGUCGUCAGCUCGUGUCGUGAGAUGUUGGGUUAAGUCCCGCAACGAGCGCAACCCUUAUGAUUAGUAGCCAACGGGUAAGCCGGGCACACUAGUCAGACUGCCGUGGACAACACGGAGGAAGGCGGGGACGAGGUCAAAUCAUCAUGCCCCUUAUGUCUUGGGCGUCACACGUGCUACAAUGGCUCGUACAAAGCGAAGCGAAGCAGUGAUGCGAAGCGAAGCGCAAAAAGGAGUCUCAGUUCGGAUUGCAGGCUGCAACCCGCCUGCAUGAAGUCGGAAUCGCUAGUAAUCGCGAAUCAGCAUGUCGCGGUGAAUACGUUCCCGGGCCUUGUACACACCGCCCGU
RNAcentral lists this ribosomal RNA (497 nucleotides) under uncultured bacterium. Its description in RNAcentral is "bacterial SSU rRNA". It matches the Rfam family "Bacterial small subunit ribosomal RNA", at positions 899 to 1397 of the family's 1533-position model. The record is from RNAcentral.